This 253-nucleotide ribosomal RNA is filed under the name uncultured bacterium. Its description in RNAcentral is "partial 16S ribosomal RNA". It matches the Rfam family "Bacterial small subunit ribosomal RNA", at positions 524 to 776 of the family's 1533-position model. The record is from RNAcentral.
UACGUAGGGUGCAAGCGUUGUUCGGAAUUACUGGGCGUAAAGCGCGCGUAGGCGGGUUUGAAAGUCGAUUGUGAAAUCCCUAGGCUUAACCUGGGAAUUGCAGUCGAAACUCCAAAUCUUGAAUGUCUGAGAGGAUGGCGGAAUAACCGGUGUAGUAGUGAAAUACGUAGAUAUCGGUUAGAACACCUGAGGCGAAGGCGGCUAUCUGGCGGUACAUUGACGCUAAGGCGCGAAAGCGUGGGGAGCAAACAGG